Non-coding RNA from Taeniopygia guttata (zebra finch), 3307 nucleotides. The record is from RefSeq and is a predicted model, not a curated record. Lineage: Eukaryota; Metazoa; Chordata; Aves; Passeriformes; Estrildidae.
CUUCCUGUGUGCCAUCUUCAGCUUCUCCUGGGGAAUACGGAUACACCUCCAAUCCAGCAUCCAGCAGCUUUGGCAAGAGGAAAGGACAGAACAGAUGGACAAAGAAAUACCGUCACGGUGCAGGACAAAGGAAAAAGAAGAGGAAGAGAGGAAGGAAGAAGGAAAGAUAAAGAUGUGAGCCUCUCCCUGCUCCAGCUGUGAAACACACCCUGGUGAUUCCCAUGUAUUAUGGCUGUCCUGUGAACUGCAGCCUGGUGUCUCACUCUGGGCUAAUCUAGCUUCACAAGACGUCACUUAAAUUUUUUUUUUUAAUGAUUCAGAAAGAAAAUUUACUCUGCAUCAUUCAAGUAAAUCCAUGUGAUCUUGAGGCAAAAGCUGGAUCUUCUGUAGAAAUUGACACACUCCUACAACUCUGAUAAUAUGGAUACAUUCUAAAUGUGCCCCAUAGGAAAUGCAGUUUUGCCUGCUAUUUGUUUGUUUGUUUAAAAAGAAGAAUUACCUGGAAUUAAUGACUAAAAUGCAGUAAGAUUCAAGAAGGUGGAAAAAAUUACAGUGAAAAAGAGUUGUUUAUUGACUGAGCUGGUACCUAUGUUUCAUAUGCUGAACAAAUUAAGCAUGCUAAAUCCCUGUUGUAGAAGUUUACAUUUCAGAGAAACAAGCUGUUAAAAGAAGAACAUUCCAAUGACUGAAGUUCCAAAGAGCACUCCUGUCUAAUAAAGUAUUUCUUGAUACCAUGCAGCCCGAAACACUGCAGCUCUGCAACAGGAUUUUAAAAAUCACACUGAACCUGACUGAAUAGAACUAAACCACUUUUGUUACCUGGUUUGAAGAACUUGUGGGAAAAAAAAAAAAAAAAAAAAAAAAAAAAAAAAAAAAAAAAAAAAAAAAAAAAAAAAGCUACAUAAGGCAGAACACACUGGUUUUAAUUUUUAUGUAGCUACCACACAGAAGACCUGUUUUUAAAUGCACCUGCUUUCAGAUGGAUAGGAUUGCUGGAAAGAAAGUCUGAAGUUUUUUAGAAAUGCCUGUAACUCACAGACUAAGAAUCAAAAUUAUUUACAUAGUAUCAGAAAGCUGUGUUUAAUCAUCAAUACAUGAGUUUUUGCUUUUCCAUCCAUUUAGGGAAUGCGGAAGGAGCCUCCAGGGCCUAAAAUCUGGCAAGGCAGUGAGACUGCAGCACACAAAUGCCAUGGCCACACCCUGGUUCCCUAGGAGAAAGGUGACUGGAGCUACAGGUGUGUUCCAUGCUGGUUGUAGGGAAGGUGCUCCAUUUCAGGACUGAAAGCUUCAGAGAGAGAAGAGAGAAAAUUGGCAUUCUGAGCAGACAGCAAAAUGUUUGAAUGUGUGCCAAGCACAUCCUGGAAGUGCUUGGGAUCUGAUCUGAGGCUCUCUUUUUAAGGAGACUGAUGGAAUUUAGGCUUGGUUUAGGGGUUUUGUGUGGUGGAAAAGUUUUUUUUUUUUUAAUUUGUGUUUUUAAAGAAAAACUUAGUAGUUUUUUGUUGUUUGGUUUUAAGAUAGAUAGUUCAUUAUAAGUUAUUUAAAAGAUUUUUUUUUUUGGUUAUUGUGGUUUGGUUAGUAGUUUUGGUAGAGGUAUACACACUUUCGACACUUUUUUUGUUUUUUGAUUUUUUUUUUCCUUGCUUUUGGUUGUUAUUUUUUAUAUGGUAUAUUAUGUGAUAAAUGUUUAUAGUUUUUCUUUAAUAUUUAUUAUUUAUAUUAAAUGAUGUUUUUUUAAUUUAAACUAAUUUGUAAGUGUUAACAUUAUUAAAACCAUGGAGGUAAGGAAGAAGAGGAAGGACAGGACUAGCUAAAAAUUUCUGUAUUUUAAAACUUUUGACUCUUAUGUAUAAAGUAAAAACCCUCCAGUAUAGGUGUUAAAACUUCGUUGUAUAAUACUAAAAAAUCCUUUCUUCUACUUUGUAACUAUUUUUAUUAUAAUAUUUAAACUUUUGUGACUUUUUGUUCUUCUUGUAAAGUUGGUAAAUCAUUCUAUGACUUAAAAUUACAGCUGUUUUCAGCUGCCUGCUAGGGUCUUAAAUGCUUUUGACUGGGGCCUGGAACCUCCAAAAAUGUCUGAGGGACAUUUUGAGUUCCAACAGGAGACAACAGCAGGACAAGCACUGGACACACAGUGCCAGCUCUUCCCUGCUCCCCUGCAUCUUCCUGCAUCCAUACAUUGAGCCUGAACCAAGAUCAUUUGCAGAGAAGGAGAAGAUGGAACUUCAUACAAGAUCCUGCAGAAAGAAUUUUCUGUCAUUUUGUCACCCAGCAGAAAUACAAGAUGCUGGAUGGAAAGUCCAAUGUUUUGCCAAAAAGAACAAAGACUCCAGCUUUUUGAAUCUGACAUCUAGCUACAACAGAACAGAAUGUGGAUCCCAGGAGGAUGGACUGGCUUUGUGCACUGGUCAGGCACUGGAAUUGUUCAUAAUUGCUUCUCCCCUCCCUAACUGCAGACAACUGAACACCAAGGAGUAAAUCCUUUCUUCUUGAUUCCAACAUCCUCAUUCUUUCGGUCCACAAACUGCUGCAUCUGAACAGUCAGCCCAAAGCACAUGAAAGAUGCAGGCCUGGUUUUAGAAGAUGAACUAAUGACAACUGUUUUGUUAUUCUCCAGUUGAAGAUACUGCCCUGCUCUGGAAGAGCAGUACGGAAUACAGGGCACAAAAAACCCAAACCGAAACACAAACAUGAGGACAAACAUCCAUAUUACAGAACUCUGAUGCCUGCUUAAACUCCAGAACUGUCAGGGAACAUUUCUCCCACCUCUCCUCUCUGCUACCUGCUUUAUGUCCCCCAGCAUGGGGUUCAUCACUGUUUCUCUAUCAUUUGCAAAGGGCCACAUCCCAAGAGCCCCAAAUCCAAUACUUUCCUCCCUCAACUCGACUUGAUGAUCCAGAUGCGUCCCUUCCAGCUGGGAAUAUUCUGUUCUGUGAUUCCAGCACAGGUCCAGUGGAUGAGAAGAGGCUGCGCUGAAACAGGAUUUCCUACACUCCUGGGAAUGAUGAGAUAAACCUCCAAUGGGAAGGAAAUACAGGAUAAACCAGGUGGUUGGUAUUCUACACACUUCCUUUGGGAAGACAGACCUGAGCUGGGAAAGGUCAGCCACGUGCUUUUCAUUUCGUUUCCAUGACCAUAAUAACAUCACAGCCUGGAGCCAUGCUAGGUAGUGCUGCAAAGGGAAUUAUAUCCAUUAGUUUACAAACUGAGAGACUGAAACUACGUUGGAGACACAGAUAUGUACCUAUUUGCCUAUCUAAAGAGAAUAUUUAAUUUUCCAUUAAUAAAUUUAGGAAGCCUGUAAUGAGAA